This 128-nucleotide small RNA is filed under the name Christiangramia flava JLT2011. RNAcentral describes it as "Gramella flava JLT2011 Flavo-1 RNA". It matches the Rfam family "Flavo-1 RNA". The record is from Rfam by way of RNAcentral. Lineage: Bacteria; Pseudomonadati; Bacteroidota; Flavobacteriia; Flavobacteriales; Flavobacteriaceae.
AUUUUGCGUUAGGGAUAGCAGCGGAAAUUCUUUAAAGGUAUUGCGAGCGAAGGCGAGAAAUUACACAGUAAUUUUGAGCUAAAGCGAAAAAUCAUCUUUAAAGAUUGAAGCGAAUAGCCCGCCGCGAC